RNAcentral lists this ribosomal RNA (494 nucleotides) under uncultured bacterium. Its description in RNAcentral is "partial 16S ribosomal RNA". It matches the Rfam family "Bacterial small subunit ribosomal RNA", at positions 28 to 507 of the family's 1533-position model. The record is from RNAcentral.
GACGAACGCUGGCGGCGUGCUUAACACAUGCAAGUCGAACGGAAAGGCCUGUCCUUCCUUGUGUUGGACGGGUACUCGAGUGGCGAACGGGUGAGUAACACGUGAGUGAUCUGCCCCCAACUUGGGUAUAAGCCUGGGAAACUGGGUCUAAUUCCCGAUAGGACUGCAGGGUGGUGCCUGUGGUGGAAAACGAUUUUCUAGUGGUUGGGGAUGAGCUCGCGGCCUAUCAGCUUGUUGGUGGGGUAAUGGCCUACCAAGGCGGCGACGGGUAGCCGGCCUGAGAGGGUGGACGGCCACAUUGGGACUGAGAUACGGCCCAGACUCCUACGGGAGGCAGCAGUGGGGAAUAUUGCACCAUGGGCGGAAGCCUGAUGCAGCGACGCCGCGUGGGGGAUGACGGCCUUCGGGUUGUAAACUCCUUUCGACCGCGAGGAAGCCGCCUGGUUGGAAGGGUGGUGACGGUAGUGGUAGAAGAAGCACCGGCUAACUACGUG